This 7131-nucleotide long non-coding RNA is filed under the name Homo sapiens (human). RNAcentral's name for it is "HSALNT0393570". The record is from RNAcentral. Lineage: Eukaryota; Metazoa; Chordata; Mammalia; Primates; Hominidae.
CAUGCUCAACUAUAGUCUCCUCUCUAAAAUAUGUUCUCUCUUCUACUUGCUUCCAUCUUUUUAUAAUAAAGUCUGUUGUGGUAUCUUAUGAAACUUGCCUCACCGCACUACCAAUUUCUCAGUAGCCAAUUCUGAGUUUGCGUUCACUUUCAGGCAUUUUAUCUGCCUUGCUCUGAGAGGUAUUAUUAAUCACAUCCUGUUGCUAGGAUACCUGAGAAUGUUCAUUUAUGUCUGAUGUUUCUUUGGCAAAAUGCACUAUGAAGAAGGCAUAGAAUCAUGACAAUGAAAAUUACUGUGCACAUGCUACUUAUUAAAAAAGGGAGGAAGAGCAUAACCACCAGAUAAUAUAAUGCUAACUGCCAUGAAUUUUUUAAUAUCGUUUUUGUUUCACCUAGAUUUUAAAGGAAAAAAAACUCGCAAUAUUUUUGGAUAAUGAGAAUCUGUAGUGCUUCUAUACUUCCGAGUUAACUAGAAAAAGUGGAAGGUGGUAGGGUUUUGGUUCUGUUCAUUUCAUAGGGAUUUAAGAGAGGAAGGAGCUUGAAAUGCUUCAAAUGCUUCCUUUACAGACAGGGUAACUAGGUUAUAGUGCUAGUUGAUUUGCAGGGCCAGACCUAAAACCCAGGUCACCACUAUUGCCAUGUUUAGCUAUUUUAAUGCAAGAUUUUUUAGAAAAGUGGGAUGUGGAAUUGGACAAUAAUAGUAAAAAAAUGCCUUUAUCAAUAUAUUAAAAUAAUUUCAAAAUUAGUGCUGUCUUGGGUGCUAGUACACCAAAAAUUCCUGCUUAUUGGUUGUCAUGAGAGAAUAUGGAUACAUAAAAUCCACCUCAAUGCAAGAUUUUCUUAGUCAAUUUCUUCCUACAGGAAAUAGCAUGAUAUAACAAAAGGAACACGGAUUUGGAGUUCGAUGGACUAACUUCUCAUCCUACCCAGGGAUGCUUGUGAGCCAUGUAAUCUGGGAAUGAGGUCUUGAGUACCUUCUCAUUACAUGUGCUUUUUCUUCUCACCUCUUCUCUCUUUCGUGUGUGUGUGUGUGUGUGUGUGUGUAUACACAAGAUACGUUUGGCAUAUCCAUAAGCCAUAUAUAAUCAGUCUCUAGGUUUUAAAAGUUGCAGGAAUAAAUUAUUUAAAAAAAUUUUCUGCAGACUAGCUUUUUAUUAGUCAAUUAUUGUUUAUCAAAUUAUUUGUUUGAAUGAAACAAUUUUUUUAACUUAUAAUUAUCUAACCACAAUGUUUCAGGAGUAAGAUACUUGAAAGAUCUUGCAAUUUUCUUUUUAUCAGGUAAGUAUUUAUUUAGUACCUACUAUGAGUUGGGCAUUCUAUUGACACUUAAAUAUUUCAUUUAAUUUUCCCAGUAAAUGACUUUCAUUUUCUGAUGGUGAAGGCAGGCUCAGAAUCUUUUUUCACAUGCACAAGGUUCCAGUUAGUGAAUGUCAGAACUGGAAUAUGAAUCCAGAGAUUUUUACCUUUUCUGUGCUUUUUAGCUGUGGUGAUUAAGGACAAUUUUGUAGAGUGGUGAAAACUUUGAGUUGUAGCUCUACCACUUGAUCACUGUGGGCUGUGGGCACCUCAUUUUAAUCUAAGGUGAAUUGUUUUUUUCUGGAAAUGGGAGUAAUACAAGUACCUACUUCACAGGGUCACUGUGAAGAUUAAAUAAAAUGAUGUGUUUAAUAAUAAUCUCUACAUGUUUUGAGUGCAUAACACAACAAUAUUUAUAAUGCUCUCACCUUGGUGCCUGGGACAUAGCAAAUAGUACAUUGCUAGGUGCUCCUCUUUAUAAGUAUUCUGUAUCAGGUUGUCCUUAAUAGCAUAUAAUAAUUCUUUAUAUCCUUAAGGUCGAUGACUUCCAUUAUGAAUAUUAUAAAGUUGAGACUUUGGGAGUUUUCUGAUAUGUUUACAUCACCUCCCUCUCUUCCCUUCUUUUUGUUUCCAAGGAAAAAGGGGCUUCCCAUUUUAGUGGAUUCCCUUUCUCUCAUCCUCAUGUCCUAACUCUUUUCAAAUACAAAUUAGUUUGAUGAAAACCAAAUUUACAUGUCAAAAUUCUCCCCAGUUAUGAGCUAAGAUCAUAUGAUUUUAGGAUGCAGGCUUUAUGGCUUAAAUUCCUAUUCACAUUUUGGAGUGGCCACCAACUGUGGACUGCCAAUAGUCUAAUGUGGUCUGAAGAGAAAGGGAGAGCUGCUCUAGAAAUCAGAGACCUCCCUGCCAGAACUUGUUCUCUUCCACAAUUGGUAGUAGAAUCUUGAACAAGUAACUUGGCUCUUGCAAGAUUCAAUGGUCUAUUCAUUUAGAUAGGUAAAUGCUAUCUUUCAAUAAUUCCAAAAGAAAUUAUGCAAACAGGGAUGUGAAAGGAUUUUAUGUACUACAUUGUAAGAGGAGGAACAGAGAAGUUUAACUGGGCCAAUUUGAAAACCAACUGGUCUGUAGAAGUCUACAUAAAACUGUAGAAACUGCAUAGCUUCUGUGUGGUCAAUGGUAUAAAAGAAUGAGGAGUUUAUUUUAUAAUUUAUGGCUGGAUUCAUGCUGCUGAUUAAACACCAGCCUCCGCAGACAUUGAGGAUAGCCUCUAUAUGGCUGUGAAUCCUCUCUGCCCUCCUGCAGGUUUAGAUAAACUCCACUUGCUCCUGUCUGUUUCUAUUUGCUUAGUUGAUAUGUUGCUAGGACGCUUAGGCAAAGAGAGCCAUUAUGAGCACAGCGAGUACUGUGAGCUCCAGACAGUGUGUACUGAGAUACAAAAACUGGCCCUUCAGAAACAUAUCGAUACAGAUAGAUCUGGGCUUCUGAGGUCGGCCAUCUGCCUUGGCAGGGCUGACUCUCCAUCUGCACUCCCCAGCCCUGGGGUCUGCCAUCCGGCAUAGCGUGGAGAAAGCUUGAGAAGGACUGAAUGCUCAAAGAUUUGCAGGCGGCUGACCUCUCUGUAAAGAAAUAGUAAAAUCAGUAUGAGAAACAACAGUUUUAGGUUGUCUUGGAAAUUCCCAAGUACAAAAUUUCUUCCCACUGAGAUCUACCCGACAAGCACGUAAUUAAUGUGACAAACAACAGCCCCUUUCAGAUUCCCAACAUUGGUCUGGCUGAAUUAAAUCUUAGAGUAAACCUUUUGAUAUUCAGGAUCUCAUUCUGAGGCAGUCAUUUCUUGGCAGAGAAGAUUUUUGGAAGACCUUUAGAGGUUGAAGUCAGACUGGCAAUAGUAAAUACCUAAUUAUUGCCAGGUUUUAAAUAGCUUUGCAAAAUAGGAAUGCUAGUCUUAAUUGCGUAAGCUGCAGCUACUGACUAAAGGAGGGAUGUGAGCAUUUGUACUUUCCUCUGAGCAUUGAACGUGUUUCUAGUAAGUUAGGUGUGAGUAGUCACUUUUAAAUAAUAUAAUAUUCUAAGUGUCUUUGGUGUGUUUAUUAUAUUGAGAAAAACUGGAAUGAAUUAUUUUGUAAAAUGACAAAUCUUUUCAUAAUGUUUAUUCACUCCUGUGCUAGAAAAAAAUGAUAACACAUUAAGAGUUAGAGUUUAAUUCCCUUCCCCUCGAAUCUCUGCAGGCCUAGUAACUUGCUUACCCAGUCGGAUACAGCAGAAAUGAUGUUUUUCCAAUCCCUAAGCUUAGGCCUUGAGCAUCAGGCAGCUUCUACUUUCCAUCUUUAAAAACGUGCUCCAGACACCAUGUAAGAAAUCAGACAACCCUAAGACCACCAUGCUGUAAGGAAGCUCUAGCUAACCACACAUGGAGGCCACAUGGAAAGAGAGCUGCCUGAACAGUAUGUGACCAGCUCCCAGGUGUUCCAGCCAUCCCAACCCAGGGACCAGAUACGUGGGUCAAGAAACCAUUUUAGAAGGAGAUUUUCCAGCUCUAGUCACCUCAGCAAACGCCAUGUGGAUUUGAGACAAACUGCCCUGCCAGACUUUUCCCAAAUCCCUAAGCCACAAAACUGCAAGCAAAAUAUCAUUUUUAUAUCAUUAGGUUUUGUCAUACUUGGUUACACAGGAAUAGUCAAAACAACGCUUUUCUUUUUUUCAUAAUGAGAAUAUUUAUUGACAUACAUAUCAAUAUAUAUUGAUAUUUUUUUUCCUUUGAAGCAGGGCUCACCUAGAUUCCUUCUUUCCUAAGAGGGUUUGUUCAAUAUACCUAUAAAUAUGUUCUAUUAUUCAGCAUUUUAGCAUCUAAAAUUAUUCCUUUUCAUGAAAAAAGAAUAAAGCCUGUUAUUAGGAGUGCAGUUAAAGCACAAUUUCUAUAGAUUACUACAUAUUUUGUUUUAUUAGAGUUUUACAAUUUUACCCUGUAAAGUGGAGUAAAAGUAAAGUGGAGACUUGCCAGUGGUCCAGCACAUCAGAACUUGUAAACCAUCAAUUGGGGUACCCAUUUGAAACAAUGACAUUAAAAUAUGUAUCUAGGCUUCGAAAACUUUACCAUAUAUUGUUAGAAUUAUGUAGAAAUCCUCUGAACUGAAACACUCAAAAGAUUCAACACAAUUUAUGGUAAAUAAUUUAAAAUAGUCUUAUUUUCCCUGGGUAGAUUUACUUCUAAAGGAUCAAUUAGUGGAAUCUAUAUUGAAUUAAGAGUUUUAAUAUUAUUUAGAGUUAAUUUUCUGUAUGAAGGCAACAACGGGAAGCAUUUCAUUAGGAAAGGUAAUGAUAUGAGUCCAAACAGAAUCUAUGCUUGUGAAGUCUGAGUUUGUUCACUUUAAAUAGCAAUUUAUGUGGCUAAUGAACACACAAUCCUGCCUAGAUUUUCAUCUGGGGGAAACAAGGACAUUUCAUUGCUCUUUUUCCCCACACUCUUAAUCAUCAUCUCAUUAGCUUGUGGAGAAAACUGGUGGAGGCCAGAGGUGAGCUUUAUUUUCUUCUUUGAGAUGUCAGUACAGGUUUUAAUCCCGCUAGCCCCAAGUUUUUCCUUUUUUAUCUUGAAAAUAUCCUCUUCACACUCAUCUUUUCCUUCACAUUGACCCACGUCAAAGGUUUGGGCCUCAGACAUUCAGGGAAGCCGAUAUUUCAUGGAUAGAAGGAAGAAAACAUGAAAAGUAUGUUUAGAUCAGUGGAUAUUGAUUAAUUGCUUUCAGGCCUUUACAGGCUACUUUGUAAGCUUGUAAAGACUAUCCCCCAUAAACUUGGUUGAAUGGAGUUUACUAGGAAAAUUGUUAAUUGUCUAGUUCAUUUUAGGUGUAGAAGAGGCUCCCCACCACUUGGGCACUUAGGAGAAAACAACCAGAGCACAUCUUGUUGAGUGUCUAUUAUGUGAGAGACAGAAAGAUAGGUACUUAAUGUCUGCAACGCUAUUGUAAAAAGUAAACAAGAAAUUCACAGUCAAGGUUCAGGGAGGGGCCCUAGAGAAGAGGCUGUGGACUGGUGCAACUGCUAGGGCCUUCAAGUGGGGGCUGGAAGUGGGCCUGUACCUAAUAAUAGAGACAUGGAGGAAGAGACACUCCAGGAGUGAAGAGAAAUAUUGUCUGAAUGCCUAAGGCAACAAGCUAUUUUCUGGAAAAAUCUUUUAUUAGUGUUCAGUGUGAAUUGCUGACUUCAGAAAAAGCAAGCCAGGCACUGGCACAGUGCAGCUCACCAGAAGGGCGGGAAGUAGGGUACUCCAGGGAGUGGGUGCGGGUGAGCUCCAGGAAGGAGAGUGGGAAUGUUGAAAAGAGGGUCCCAACUAGAUGCAGUCACUGAGAGCUAAGAUUUGCACAAGACUAAGAAUUUGGCAUUGUCAGGGAAGGGCAGUAACUUUCUAGCUUUAUUUACUGUGAAAAACACAACUGAGUGCCUGUCCACAGUCCAUUCUCCUCUUUUUCUACUCUGGUACCCAACCCUCUUCUCACAUGACAUGCAUAAAACAUGUAAACUAAUCAUCGUGGUCCCCAUCUCCCUUAGUUUAGGUGGUCAUUUGACAUUUCUGGCUAAUGACAUGUACAUUUAUUUAUUUAGAGAUGAGGUCUCACUAUGUUGAGCAGGCUAAACUCAAAUUCCUGGGCUCAAGCAAUCUUCCUGCCUCAGCCUCCCAAGUAGCUGGGAUUACAGGCAUGUGCCAUCACAUCCAGCUAUAGUGCAUGUUGUCACAUCUGGGCAUGAUGACUGGUUCUUGACCUACACUGGUUCUUGAGGAGAGUAAAGAUCACCUGGUGGCCACAAGCAGAUCAUCUGGAGGCAAAACUCCUUAUCUGAGGACAAAAUCAACUCACUUCAAGAAUGACUGAGGGGAACACACCCCAAGGAUGAAGUCACCAAGCCUCUGAAUUAAUGCACCACGGGACCACCCUGCAUCAGGUUUUCUUGUUAUGUGUUAUUUAACCUUUUUGGGUAUAAGUUCAAGUUUUUGGUUACUUGUAGCUGAAAGCAUACACAAGCCAACUACAAAAAUAAUAUUCAAUGCUAAAUACACUAGGAAUAAAAUCUAAAGGAAAGAGCAUUGCCUUUAAGACAGUUCCAAAAAUUGUAGGCGUGAGACUCUUCCCCAGCCAGGCACUGUACUUUAGAGGAUCUUCUCUUGCUCUCUUUCACACACAUCACUUUCACAGAAGGUGAGGAGGGCCCAGGUGUCUGUAUAUGGCAUCCACACCUUUCCUAGACCAUGCACUGAGUACCUGGGAUGCCAGAAUUCUCUGACCUAACUCUGCCCAGAUCAGAUCUCUGGAGGAGGGGACCAGAUUGCAUCAUUGGUGUGUAGGCUCCAAGGCCCGAGGAGUGUUCAAAGGAUUCCUGGGGCUUUGAUGUGUGUAUCAAUGGCCCCAGUGCACGUGCAUGAGGCCCCUUGCAAUGCUGGAGGGACUGUGAUGAAGGCAGAAAGAAAAGGGGACCUACACUUGUUCUCGAUGAGAGCAAAGAUCACCUGGUGGCCAUCAAGCAGGUCAUCUAGAGGCAAAACUCCUUAUCUGAGGAAUUCAGAAGUAAUUAGACUUCUAGAAUUUCUAUACAUUUCUGGAAUGCAAGCAUGUCGAAACCCAUUGUACAACCUUUGCCGACAUAAAGGCACCAAAACAUCCACAAAUGUUAAUCAUUUCUCAUGACCAAUGUGACUAAUAUGGUCCAAAUCACCCUUCAGCUCCUGCGUUAAGUCCACAAAUACCCCUACGGAAGAUCCAACUGGGCACACUCAGUCCUCUCUUACUGAAGCUGCACUCUGCUGCAGCGUUCCUCCUAUCUAAUAAAACAUUCCUCUUCAAACUUA